This 428-nucleotide long non-coding RNA is filed under the name Nicotiana benthamiana. RNAcentral describes it as "long non-coding RNA (NBEN_LNC028483)". The record is from RNAcentral. Lineage: Eukaryota; Viridiplantae; Streptophyta; Magnoliopsida; Solanales; Solanaceae.
GAAGAGAGAGUGGAGUUGAGACAUUUGCAGACGCAUUUGGAGACGAUGAUUUCACGGAGGGUUAAAUGGGAGAAGAUCUGGUGAAGGGUAUCUUGAGGUAAACGAUUUAAAGGGGAAAACUCCAUCGGCGGCGGAUGAGAAGAGAGAGUUGAGUUAAGACAUUUGCAGACGCAUUUGGAGACGAUGAUUUCACGGAGAGUUAAAUGGGAGAAGAUCUGGUGAAGGGUAUCUUGAGGUAAACGAUUUAAAGGGGAAAACUCCAUCGGCGGCAGGGCACGGCGGAGAUUAAGAGUCGGUGGUGGUCGGAGAGAUUGAUCUAAUCUCUUGUUUGGGGGUUUUUGAGUUUAAUAAUUAUUUUUGUGCUUUGUAGAAAGGGUUUUUUCUUGUUUUGGUUGACUGGUUUGUCUUGACAAUGUAUUUGGCUAUGG